GGGCCGGUAGCUCAGCCUGGUAGAGCACCUGGCUUUUAACCAGGGGGUCGCGGGUCCGAAUCCCGUCCGGCUCA
This 74-nucleotide transfer RNA is filed under the name Candidatus Woesearchaeota archaeon. RNAcentral's name for it is "tRNA-Lys". It matches the Rfam family "tRNA". Rfam says of the family: Transfer RNA (tRNA) molecules are approximately 80 nucleotides in length. Their secondary structure includes four short double-helical elements and three loops (D, anti-codon, and T loops). Lineage: Archaea; Nanobdellati; Candidatus Woesearchaeota. The record is from RNAcentral.